UCUUUAUCUUGGGGCACUGCAGCUUCUGCACCUCGUGAGGAACAGUGUUGGUCACUACCACCUAGGGAGGGCCAAAAAGGAAAGGAAGUUGUGCUGCUGGAAUGUUCAUCCACCCUGGACUGACUCCAGCAGGGUGAAGAACCAACUAACUGAAAGCACCUGAUUAAAUGAGUAAUUCCAGACAUGAGCUAGGUGCCUUGGGAAGGACAUCAAUUUGUGAGUUUUGGUGCCAGCCCCCACUCUGCAGUGUGGAGAGCAGACUCACCUCAUCAAUGGAGGAUUCCUCUAUAAGACGAGGGGCAUCUGCUGACAGGAGCCCAUGAGUAGCCAUCACAAAAAUCUUGUAGGCUCCACGCUCUUUCAGGAUCUCUGCAGCAGCUACAAAGCUUUCCACAUCAUCAAUGAUGUCAUCCUGAGCAGAAACAGAAAUAACAUCAAAGCCAGAAGUUUACAGAGCCUGCAGGGCAGGAGUGGAUCUGCAGGCUACUGCAGCUUUGGCCAUGCACACAGAUGAAAAAUAGAAUCCCUGUCUACUUCAGCUGCUGAUGAGGACAGCCACGUGCAUGACUAAUCUGUGAAUGCUAUUUCCCCGGUUUAAUGACCCUUUUGCUAGUGUGGAGAACAAAUGCUGUGUCUUGGAAACAAAUCAGUCUCUGCACAUGCACUUGCAGUUUAUCAUCAGCAAGGCCUAUUUUUCCGUGGGGCAGGAGCUGCAUGUUGAUUACUUACACUGCAGUAUGGCAUAGCAAGUAAGAGAGGCUUGGCAAGCUUUUUGUUUGGGGUUUUUUAACACUUCAGGAGCUUUCUGUGUGUCCUGGAGUUAUUAAUUACUUGCAGACAUCUGACACUUAGAAUCAAGGCAGCAAGAACAUUUUAGGGCUUAAAGAACUGAAGUGUGAAUGGUUUUCAACAGAAAGUUGAAAUAACCAAAGUCACCAGCACUGCUGGAGAAAAGUGUGUCUAAAAACCACGUUCCCACUCCUAUACCAGCCAUCCCUCUGACCCUCAGGGAGAGAGCAGCUGAAGCAAAGAUGCUGUGAAGAAGCCACCCCCCACCUGUUCCCCUCACACUCAUACCACGAUGAUGGCAAUCCUUCCUCCAACGUCUCCAACCACAGUUAUGGGCGGUUUCUCCUUGGCCAUCAUCACUAAAGAAGAAGGGAAAAAAAGAAUCCAGGUGACUCAGGUUUGAGUCAAACCCCAACAGUUCCACCAGACAAGAGGCUGAACCAUUAAACAUCUUGCACUGAUGCAGACACAGGUGUGCUUUACAUGAUCCUGACACCCACCUAAGUGAGAAACUUUCAUUUAAUCAUCGUUUUUCUCCUCAAAUGAACAGCACUGCUGCAUAAAGAGGAAAUUCUGUUUCUGUGGGGAUUUUGUACUGAGCUCAGAAACAGAAAGCAAUUCCAACUCUCUAACAGACCCCUGUGCAAGGAGUUACAAAGCAGCACCUGGUUUAUGGGCAAUAUCAGUGACCCUCUCUGUGCUCCAGCACAGGACUUGAAAAAGGGUCCAUUCCACGACUGGGAACAACAAAUGGGCUUUUCCAAGCAGCACCUCUCAAAGGGCAGAUGCUUUACAAGGUGCAACUUUUCACCUCUUGGACUCAGUAAAUCAUCUGUAGGACCAGAGACGUGCACUGCAGCUCAUUUGCUUUCGCACAUCACCAAACACAGAGGGAUCUUUGAGAGGGUGUAAGAACCUUAAUACCACCUGCUCAGGCAAAGAAAGCUUAAGGAAGUUUGCAGAAGCAAAUUUGCUGAUUAUUUUUUAAGUGGAUUAAUGGAAAGAGUAGGACAAAAUCCAGUUGAAACUCUGUUUAACAAGCUCAGUGCAACCAGCAACUGGAUCAAAGGAUACACUGACAAGCUGUGCUACCUGGCAUACAGUGAAGAAAUGUACUGGGAAAUAAGGUUCCACCCCUCCUGACACUACUUUUGCACUGACAGGGCUCAUGCAAAACCAUAUCCUGCCAAAAUUCCAGCAGCAUCAUAAAAAUACCAGAAAUCUGAACUAAGAUGCACUGAGAGUGUCCAGAUGUAACACAGCCCUGACACUUACAGCAAACAGCAACCAACCUCCAGUACAGGCCAGGGACUUGCUGUCCAUCUGCCAAAGCUCUCACUUGCCAUGGGGUGCUGGUACAAAAACCUCCAGCACGGAAAGGACACUGUGGUGGGCAAACGUGUGUCAACAGGUGACAAUUUGGGCUGAUCUAACCACUGAAGCCAAGAGGCACCUCCAGAUUUUGUAAAACUUACCUGGCCCACCUCCACACCCCACACCCCUAUUUUAUACUCUUCACAGUGAGUGCAAAGUGUCCUAACCAAGGAUCUUGGUGCCCCUCCUUUUGUAAGCUCAGGUCUUGCCAGGAUUCUGGCCACAGAGGCUUCUCAAGUGCCUCAAAGAGCUCAGACAAAGCAGGAUUUUUCUCUUUUAGGAUAAUCCACUUCACUGUAAUACCUGAGCAGCAGGAGAACACAAGCAAUUGCCCACCAAAAAGCCUGUCUAAAUAUUGAUCUCUGCUCUCCUCACCAAAAAAGUCUUGCAUCAAACUCCCCAUCCUGCACAGCAGGAUGAUCCAGUACUAUUCCCAUAUCUCAGCAGUGCCUGGGAAUGCUUAAGAGUGCAAGCACAGCUGGGUGAAUGACUCACACUGAGGGAUAUGAUGAAAGCAAUUGUAAGCACCACAAUUUCCAAGAUUCUUGUGUAGAGCUGUUCUUCACAUCCAUGAUCUACUCCAGGCUGGUUUUCCAUAAACCUACCAAAACUGUAUAAAAGGUAUCCAGUAAUUCUGUUUUGCCCAAAGUCCCAUCACUCAUUGCCAGGUUUUUGCAGUUAAAAGUCACAGCUACCUUGGACUGAAGAGUUAAUCAACAGCUCUUCAUGGCACAGAUUCCUCAGCCUCCCUUGCAUGGUUAUUUCUGAGUCUCCUAUCAAAAGCAAAGUCACAUCUAAAUCCUGAAGGAAAAAUAUUCUUAUGAGAAGGAAGAUUAUUUGUAAUAAAUGAAGAUUAAGCACCACGAGAAAUAAGCAGAUCAUAAAUUUCAGUUACAGGCACUACUGACCUGCUCAGAUUAGUUAUGAGUUCACUAUCUAGUCUGGACAGUAAUAAAGCUCCUGGUGGGAGCUGUGAAGUAUCAAAAGGAUUCCACCUGGCUGCCAUCCCAGCCUCUGUGUGUAUCCACUGAUGAGUGCCAUCUCUGUUUACAACAGCCAGGUCAGGGGAAACUUUUCUACACAAAUGGUGAACAGGCCUGGGGAGUUGAAAUUCAGCACUAUUUUACUCACAGAGAUAUGGAGUUUCAGCAAGUCAGCAUCCUUCUACUCCAUGAAGGAAGCAGACACAUUGCUUGCUGUGCUUAAAGGCUAACAUGGCAACCAGCAACAUUAGCAGUGCUUUGCAUCUCUCUCUGUUUUUUAAAAGCUGUAUUUCGAUUUUGGUUUAUUUUUAAAGAAUGGUAGGCAACGUGUCGACCUACCCGGAUCUUAAAGAGAUGUUCUCCCUUUUCCUUGUUCAAUUUUCUCUGCAAAAAAAAGAAAAAAAAAAUUGCAAGCCAAAGAUCUACCCACAACCACAUCAAAUCUCAACUGCUCCAAGGUGAUGAGAGUCUACACAAGGGUUAGUGCAGGCAGCUUCUUCUUCAAAAUCUUUGAACAUAUCAAGAUGUGCAAGUCAGAACUGCUAUGAGGAGGUGCCUUGAAAAAUGAUUCAAAUAAUAAAAGAAUAUUUUCCUCCCA
Taeniopygia guttata (zebra finch) is the source of this 3744-nucleotide long non-coding RNA. RefSeq lists it as uncharacterized. The record is from RefSeq and is a predicted model, not a curated record. NCBI's taxonomy places the organism in Eukaryota, Metazoa, Chordata, Aves, Passeriformes, Estrildidae.